GCCUGGGUGGCUCAGUCGGUUAAGCAUCUGACUUCGGCUCAGGUCAUGAUCUCACGGUUUGUGGGUUCGAGCCCUGCAUCGGGCU
This 85-nucleotide transfer RNA is filed under the name Felis catus (domestic cat). It matches the Rfam family "tRNA". From Rfam's summary of the family: Transfer RNA (tRNA) molecules are approximately 80 nucleotides in length. Their secondary structure includes four short double-helical elements and three loops (D, anti-codon, and T loops). Lineage: Eukaryota; Metazoa; Chordata; Mammalia; Carnivora; Felidae. The record is from Rfam by way of RNAcentral.